ACGCUCGACAGUGUCAGCAGCCGCGGUAAUACGAAGGGUCCAAGCGUUGUUCGGAAUUACUGGGCGUAAAGCGCGCGUAGGCGGGUUUGUAAGUCGAUUGUGAAAGCCCUGGGCUCAACCCGGGAACAGCAGUCGAAACUGCAAAUCUUGAAUGUCUGAGAGGAUGGCGGAAUUCCCGGUGUAGUAGUGAAAUACGUAGAUAAUCGGGAAGAACACCUGAGGCGAAGGCGGCUAUCUGGCGGUACAUUGACGCUGAGGCGCGAAAGGCGUGGGGANCGAAACUAGGAUUAGAUACCCUGGUAGUCCACGCCGUAAACUAUGGUUACUAGGUGUCCGGGAUG
RNAcentral lists this ribosomal RNA (341 nucleotides) under uncultured bacterium. RNAcentral describes it as "bacterial SSU rRNA". It matches the Rfam family "Bacterial small subunit ribosomal RNA", at positions 493 to 831 of the family's 1533-position model. The record is from RNAcentral.